RNAcentral lists this ribosomal RNA (322 nucleotides) under uncultured eukaryote. Its description in RNAcentral is "partial 18S ribosomal RNA". It matches the Rfam family "Eukaryotic small subunit ribosomal RNA", at positions 1470 to 1796 of the family's 1831-position model. The record is from RNAcentral.
CCCUUAGAUGUUCUGGGCUGCACGCGCGCUACACUGAAGCGUUCAACGAGUAUUUCACCUUGCCCGGGAGGGUUGGGUAAUCUUUUUAAAACGCUUCGUGAUGGGGAUAGAUUAUUGCAAUUAUUAAUCUUCAACGAGGAAUUCCUAGUAAGCGCGAGUCAUCAGCUCGUGCUGAUUACGUCCCUGCCCUUUGUACACACCGCCCGUCGCACCUACCGAUUGAAUGGUCCGGUGAAAUCUCGGGACGGCGGCUCGGUCGCUUGCGUCCGACUGCUGAAACUUGAUUAAACCAUAUCAUUUAGAGGAAGGUGAAGUCGUAACA